This 462-nucleotide ribosomal RNA is filed under the name uncultured bacterium. Its description in RNAcentral is "partial 16S ribosomal RNA". It matches the Rfam family "Bacterial small subunit ribosomal RNA", at positions 28 to 507 of the family's 1533-position model. The record is from RNAcentral.
GACGAACGCUGGCGGCGUGCUUAACACAUGCAAGUCGAGCGACGCUCUUCCUUCGGGGAGAUGACGGAGCGGCGAACGGGUGAGUAACACGUGGGCAACCUGCCCCUAGCUCUGGGACAACACCGGGAAACCGGUGCUAAUACCGGAUACGACAUCGAGCGGCAUCUCUCGAUGUGGAAAGUUUUUUCGGCUAGGGAUGGGCCCGCGGCCUAUCAGCUUGUUGGUGGGGUAAUGGCCCACCAAGGCGACGACGGGUAGCCGGCCUGAGAGGGCGACCGGCCACACGGGGACUGAGACACGGCCCGGACUCCUGCGGGAGGCAGCAGUGGGGAAUAUUGCGCAAUGGGCGAAAGCCUGACGCAGCGACGCCGCGUGAGGGAUGACGGCCUUCGGGUUGUAAACCUCUUUCAGCAGGGACGAAUUCAGACGGUACCUGCAGAAGAAGCACCGGCCAACUACGUG